GAUGAACGCUGGCGGCGUGCCUAAUACAUGCAAGUCGAGCGAACGGACGAGAAGCUUGCUUCUCUGAUGUUAUCGGCGGACGGGUGAGUAACACGUGGAUAACCUACCUAUAAGACUGGGAUAACUUCGGGAAACCGGAGCUAAUACCGGAUAAUAUUUUGAACCGCAUGGUUCAAAAGUGAAAGACGGUCUUGCUGUCACUUAUAGAUGGAUCCGCGCUGCAUUAGCUAGUUGGUAAGGUAACGGCUUACCAAGGCAACGAUGCAUAGCCGACCUGAGAGGGUGAACGGCCACACUGGAACUGAGACACGGUCCAGACUCCUACGGGAGGCAGCAGUAGGGAAUCUUCCGCAAUGGGCGAAAGCCUGACGGAGCAACGCCGCGUGAGUGAUGAAGGUCUUCGGAUCGUAAAACUCUGUUAUUAGGGAAGAACAUAUGUGUAAGUAACUGUGCACAUCUUGACGGUACCUAAUCAGAAAGCCACGGCUAACUACGUG
RNAcentral lists this ribosomal RNA (497 nucleotides) under uncultured bacterium. Its description in RNAcentral is "partial 16S ribosomal RNA". It matches the Rfam family "Bacterial small subunit ribosomal RNA", at positions 28 to 507 of the family's 1533-position model. The record is from RNAcentral.